RNAcentral lists this ribosomal RNA (732 nucleotides) under Lactobacillus casei group sp. Its description in RNAcentral is "bacterial SSU rRNA". It matches the Rfam family "Bacterial small subunit ribosomal RNA", at positions 60 to 756 of the family's 1533-position model. The record is from RNAcentral. Lineage: Bacteria; Bacillati; Bacillota; Bacilli; Lactobacillales; Lactobacillaceae.
AGUCGAACGAGUUCUCGUUGAUGAUCGGUGCUUGCACCGAGAUUCAACAUGGAACGAGUGGCGGACGGGUGAGUAACACGUGGGUAACCUGCCCUUAAGUGGGGGAUAACAUUUGGAAACAGAUGCUAAUACCGCAUAGAUCCAAGAACCGCAUGGUUCUUGGCUGAAAGAUGGCGUAAGCUAUCGCUUUUGGAUGGACCCGCGGCGUAUUAGCUAGUUGGUGAGGUAAUGGCUCACCAAGGCGAUGAUACGUAGCCGAACUGAGAGGUUGAUCGGCCACAUUGGGACUGAGACACGGCCCAAACUCCUACGGGAGGCAGCAGUAGGGAAUCUUCCACAAUGGACGCAAGUCUGAUGGAGCAACGCCGCGUGAGUGAAGAAGGCUUUCGGGUCGUAAAACUCUGUUGUUGGAGAAGAAUGGUCGGCAGAGUAACUGUUGUCGGCGUGACGGUAUCCAACCAGAAAGCCACGGCUAACUACGUGCCAGCAGCCGCGGUAAUACGUAGGUGGCAAGCGUUAUCCGGAUUUAUUGGGCGUAAAGCGAGCGCAGGCGGUUUUUUAAGUCUGAUGUGAAAGCCCUCGGCUUAACCGAGGAAGCGCAUCGGAAACUGGGAAACUUGAGUGCAGAAGAGGACAGUGGAACUCCAUGUGUAGCGGUGAAAUGCGUAGAUAUAUGGAAGAACACCAGUGGCGAAGGCGGCUGUCUGGUCUGUAACUGACGCUGAGGCUCGA